This 716-nucleotide ribosomal RNA is filed under the name Escherichia coli. RNAcentral describes it as "partial 23S ribosomal RNA". It matches the Rfam family "Bacterial large subunit ribosomal RNA", at positions 108 to 867 of the family's 2925-position model. Lineage: Bacteria; Pseudomonadati; Pseudomonadota; Gammaproteobacteria; Enterobacterales; Enterobacteriaceae. The record is from RNAcentral.
CGAUUUCCGAAUGGGGAAACCCAGUGUGUUUCGACACACUAUCAUUAACUGAAUCCAUAGGUUAAUGAGGCGAACCGGGGGAACUGAAACAUCUAAGUACCCCGAGGAAAAGAAAUCAACCGAGAUUCCCCCAGUAGCGGCGAGCGAACGGGGAGCAGCCCAGAGCCUGAAUCAGUGUGUGUGUUAGUGGAAGCGUCUGGAAAGGCGCGCGAUACAGGGUGACAGCCCCGUACACAAAAAUGCACAUGCUGUGAGCUCGAUGAGUAGGGCGGGACACGUGGUAUCCUGUCUGAAUAUGGGGGGACCAUCCUCCAAGGCUAAAUACUCCUGACUGACCGAUAGUGAACCAGUACCGUGAGGGAAAGGCGAAAAGAACCCCGGCGAGGGGAGUGAAAAAGAACCUGAAACCGUGUACGUACAAGCAGUGGGAGCACGCUUAGGCGUGUGACUGCGUACCUUUUGUAUAAUGGGUCAGCGACUUAUAUUCUGUAGCAAGGUUAACCGAAUAGGGGAGCCGAAGGGAAACCGAGUCUUAACUGGGCGUUAAGUUGCAGGGUAUAGACCCGAAACCCGGUGAUCUAGCCAUGGGCAGGUUGAAGGUUGGGUAACACUAACUGGAGGACCGAACCGACUAAUGUUGAAAAAUUAGCGGAUGACUUGUGGCUGGGGGUGAAAGGCCAAUCAAACCGGGAGAUAGCUGGUUCUCCCCGAAAGCU